AUUGAACGCUGGCGGCAGGCUUAACACAUGCAAGUCGAGCGGGGUGAUGGUGCUUGCACUAUCACUUAGCGGCGGACGGGUGAGUAAUGCUUAGGAAUCUGCCUAUUAGUGGGGGACAACAUCUCGAAAGGGAUGCUAAUACCGCAUACGUCCUACGGGAGAAAGCAGGGGAUCACUUGUGACCUUGCGCUAAUAGAUGAGCCUAAGUCGGAUUAGCUAGUUGGUGGGGUAAGGCCUACCAAGGCGACGAUCUGUAGCGGGUCUGAGAGGAUGAUCCGCCACACUGGGACUGAGACACGGCCCAGACGCCUACGGGAGGCAGCAGUGGGGAAUAUUGGACAAUGGGGGGAACCCUGAUCCAGCCAUGCCGCGUGUGUGAAGAAGGCCUUAUGGUUGUAAAGCACUUUAAGCGAGGAGGAGGCUCUUUUGGUUAAUACCCAAGAUGAGUGGACGUUACUCGCAGAAUAAGCACCGGCUAACUCUGUGCCAGCCGCCGCAGUAA
This 502-nucleotide ribosomal RNA is filed under the name uncultured bacterium. RNAcentral describes it as "partial 16S ribosomal RNA". It matches the Rfam family "Bacterial small subunit ribosomal RNA", at positions 30 to 523 of the family's 1533-position model. The record is from RNAcentral.